AAUUCUCAACUCUGAUUUGAUUUGUUUCUAAUCGGAGCUUGGACUUGGAGCGUGCUGGCGUCUAGUCGGCUCCUCUCAAAUGCAGCAGCGGAAUAUAACCUUUGGUUUCCGGACGUCGGUGUGAUAAUAAAAGUUGCGCCGUCAUUCGACUUCAAAGUCCGCUUAUAAUGGUCUUCGGACGAACUCUUAUAUCAA
This 195-nucleotide unclassified non-coding RNA is filed under the name uncultured Piloderma. RNAcentral's name for it is "sequence contains ITS2". The record is from RNAcentral. Lineage: Eukaryota; Fungi; Basidiomycota; Agaricomycetes; Atheliales; Atheliaceae.